AACGAACGCUGGCGGCGCGUCUUAAGCAUGCAAGUCGGACGGCAAGGGUAGCAAUACCCCUAGAGUGGCGGACUGGUGAGUAACGCGUGGGUGACCUACCCUUGAGAUGGGGAUAGCCAUUAGAAAUAGUGGAUAAUACCGAAUACGCUCACGACCCUGUGGGGAUGUGAGGAAAUCAGGCUACGGCCUGGCUCGAGGAUGGGGCCGCGUCCGAUUAGCUCGUUGGUGAGGUAAAAACCCACCAAGGCGACGAUGGGUAGCCGGCCUGAGAGGGUGUACGGACACAUUGGGACUGAGAUACGGCCCAAACUCCUACGGGAGGCAGCAGCUAAGAAUAUUCCGCAAUGGACGAAAGUCUGACGGAGCGACGCCGCGUGGAUGAAGAAGGCCGAAAGGUUGUAAAAUCCUUUUGCUGAUGAAGAAUAAGUGUGGUAGGGAAUGACCGCAUGAUGACAUUAGUCGGUGAAUAAGCCCCGGCUAACUACGUGCCAGCAGCCGCGGUAA
RNAcentral lists this ribosomal RNA (504 nucleotides) under uncultured bacterium. RNAcentral describes it as "partial 16S ribosomal RNA". It matches the Rfam family "Bacterial small subunit ribosomal RNA", at positions 29 to 523 of the family's 1533-position model. The record is from RNAcentral.